This 645-nucleotide long non-coding RNA is filed under the name Salmo salar (Atlantic salmon). RNAcentral's name for it is "lncRNA (ENSSSAG00000098307.1)". Lineage: Eukaryota; Metazoa; Chordata; Actinopteri; Salmoniformes; Salmonidae. The record is from RNAcentral.
GUCAAGCCUGAUGGCAGCAGGGAAGAAGGCCUGGCUAGAUAACAGGUCAAGCCUGAUGGCAGCAGGGAAGAAGAAGGCCUGGCUAGAUAACAGGUCAAGCCUGAUGGCAGCAGGGAAGAAGGCCUGGCUAGAUAACAGGUCAAGCCUGAAGGCAGCAGGGAAGAAGGCCUGGCUAGAUAACAGGUCAAGCCUGAAGGCAGCAGGGAAGAAGAAGGCCUGGCUAGAUAACAGGUCAAGCCUGAUGGCAGCAGGGAAGAAGGCCUGGCUAGAUAACAGGUCAAGCCUGAUGGCAGCAGGGAAGAAGAAGGCCUGGCUAGAUAACAGGUCAAGCCUGAUGGCAGCAGGGAAGAAGGCCUGGCUAGAUAACAGGUCAAGCCUGAAGGCAGCAGGGAAGAAGGCCUGGCUAGAUAACAGGUCAAGCCUGAAGGCAGCAGGGAAGAAGAAGGCCUGGCUAGAUAACAGGUCAAGCCUGAUGGCAGCAGGGAAGAAGAAGGCCUGGCUAGAUAACAGGUCAAGCCUGAAGGCAGCAGGGAAGAAGGCCUGGCUAGAUAACAGGUCAAGCCUGAUGGCAGCAGGGAAGAAGGCCUGGCUAGAUAACAGGUCAAGCCCGAAGGCAGCAGGGAAGAAGACCUGGCUAGAUAACAG